This 494-nucleotide ribosomal RNA is filed under the name uncultured bacterium. Its description in RNAcentral is "partial 16S ribosomal RNA". It matches the Rfam family "Bacterial small subunit ribosomal RNA", at positions 28 to 507 of the family's 1533-position model. The record is from RNAcentral.
GACGAACGCUGGCGGCGUGCUUAACACAUGCAAGUCGAACGGUGAAGCGCCUUCCUUUUUGGUGGGUGUGGAUGAGUGGCGAACGGGUGAGUAACACGUGAGUAACCUGCCCCCUUCUUCUGGAUAACCGCAUGAAAGUGUGGCUAAUACGGGAUAUUCUGGGUCUGUCGCAUGAUGGGUCUGGGAAAGAUAUUGUUUCGGUGGGGGAUGGGCUCGCGGCCUAUCAGCUUGUUGGUGGGGUGAUGGCCUACCAAGGCGGUGACGGGUAGCCGGCCUGAGAGGGUGGACGGCCACGCUGGGACUGAGACACGGCCCAGACUCCUAGGGGAGGCAGCAGUGGGGAAUAUUGCACAAUGGGCGCAAGGCUGAUGCAGCGACGCCGCGUGAGGGAUGGAGGCCUUCGGGUUGUGAACCUCUUUCGCCAGUGAAGCAGGCCUGCCUCGUUUGUGGGUGGGUUGACGGUAGCUGGAUAAGAAGCGCCGGCUAACUACGUG